AGAGUUUGAUCCUGGCUCAGAAUCAACGCUGGCGGCGUGCCUAACACAUGCAAGUCGCACGAGAAAGGGUAGCAAUACCUGAGUACAGUGGCGCACGGGUGAGUAACACGUGACUUAUCUACCUCCGAGUGGGGAAUAACCUAGAGAAAUCUGGGCUAAUACCGCAUAACACUUACGAGUCAAAGCAGCAAUGCGCUUGGAGAGGAGGUCGCGGCCGAUUAGCUAGUUGGCGGGGUAAUGGCCCACCAAGGCGAUGAUCGGUAUCCGGCCUGAGAGGGCGCACGGACACACUGGAACUGAAACACGGUCCAGACUCCUACGGGAGGCAGCAGUGGGGAAUUUUGCGCAAUGGGGGAAACCCUGACGCAGCAACGCCGCGUGGAGGAUGAAAUAUCUUGGUAUGUAAACUCCUUUCGAUGGGGAAGAUUAUGACGGUACCCAUAGAAGAAGCCCCGGCUAACUUCGUGCCAGCAGCCGCGGUAAUACGAGGGGGGCAAGCGUUGUUCGGAUUUAUUGGGCGUAAAGGGUGCGUAGGCGGUUUGGCAAGUCUUAUGUGAAAUCUUCGGGCUCAACCCGAAGCCUGCAUAAGAAACUGCCGGGCUUGAGUAUGGGAGAGGUGAGUGGAAUUUCCGGUGUAGCGGUGAAAUGCGUAGAUAUCGGAAGGAACACCUGUGGCGAAAGCGGCUCACUGGACCAUAACUGACGCUGAUGCACGAAAGCUAGGGGAGCAAACAGGAUUAGAUACCCUGGUAGUCCUAGCCCUAAACGAUGAUUGCUUGGUGUGGCAGGUACCCAAUCCUGCCGUGCCGAAGCUAACGCGAUAAGCAAUCCGCCUGGGGAGUACGGUCGCAAGGCUGAAACUCAAAGGAAUUGACGG
RNAcentral lists this ribosomal RNA (877 nucleotides) under uncultured Terriglobales bacterium. RNAcentral's name for it is "bacterial SSU rRNA". It matches the Rfam family "Bacterial small subunit ribosomal RNA", at positions 8 to 916 of the family's 1533-position model. The record is from RNAcentral. Lineage: Bacteria; Pseudomonadati; Acidobacteriota; Terriglobia; Terriglobales.